UACGGAGGGUGCAAGCGUUAUCCGGAUUCACUGGGUUUAAAGGGUGCGUAGGUGGGUCUGUAAGUCAGUGGUGAAAUCCCCGAGCUUAACUUGGGAACUGCCGUUGAUACUAUAGAUCUUGAAUAUCGUGGAGGUAAGCGGAAUAUGUCAUGUAGCGGUGAAAUGCUUAGAUAUGACAUAGAACACCAAUUGCGAAGGCAGCUUACUACACGAUCAUUGACACUGAGGCACGAAAGCGUGGGGAGCAAAUAGG
RNAcentral lists this ribosomal RNA (253 nucleotides) under uncultured bacterium. Its description in RNAcentral is "partial 16S ribosomal RNA". It matches the Rfam family "Bacterial small subunit ribosomal RNA", at positions 524 to 776 of the family's 1533-position model. The record is from RNAcentral.